This 559-nucleotide ribosomal RNA is filed under the name uncultured bacterium. RNAcentral's name for it is "partial 16S ribosomal RNA". It matches the Rfam family "Bacterial small subunit ribosomal RNA", at positions 355 to 1376 of the family's 1533-position model. The record is from RNAcentral.
UGGGGAAUCUUGCACAAUGGGGGAAACCCUGAUGCAGCGACGCCGCGUGAGUGAUGAAGCCCUUCGGGGUGUAAAGCUCUUUCGGCAGGGACGAUAAUGACGGUACCUGCAGAAGAAGCUGCGGCUAACUACGUGCCAGCAGCCGCGGUAAUACGUAGGCAGCAAGCGUUGUUCGGAAUUACUGGGCGUAAAGAGUGCGUAGGCGGUUUGGCAAGUUUGGUGUGAAAUCUCCUGGCUUAACUGGGAGGGUGCGCCGAAAACUGUCAGGCUAGAGUGUGGGAGAGGAAAGCGGAAUUCCUGGUGUAGCGGUGAAAUGCGUAGAUAUCAGGAGGAACACCUGCGGUGUAGACGGCUUUCUGGACCACUACUGACGCUGAGGCACGAAAGCGUGGGGAGCAAACAGGAUUAGAUACCCUGGUAGUCCACGCCCUAAACGAUGCGGACUUGGUGUUGGCCCUUCAUUGGUCAGUGCCGCAGUUAACGCGGUAAGUCCGCCGCCUGGGGAGUACGGUCGCAAGGCUGAAACUCAAAUGAUUGACGGGGUCAUAGCUGUUUCCUG